RNAcentral lists this ribosomal RNA (924 nucleotides) under Cladosporium herbarum. RNAcentral describes it as "LSU rRNA". It matches the Rfam family "Eukaryotic large subunit ribosomal RNA", at positions 23 to 973 of the family's 3401-position model. Lineage: Eukaryota; Fungi; Ascomycota; Dothideomycetes; Cladosporiales; Cladosporiaceae. The record is from RNAcentral.
ACCCGCUGAACUUAAGCAUAUCAAUAAGCGGAGGAAAAGAAACCAACAGGGAUUGCUCUAGUAACGGCGAGUGAAGCAGCAAUAGCUCAAAUUUGAAAUCUGGCGUCUUCGACGUCCGAGUUGUAAUUUGUAGAGGAUGCUUCUGAGUGGCCACCGACCUAAGUUCCUUGGAACAGGACGUCAUAGAGGGUGAGAAUCCCGUAUGCGGUCGGAAAGGCGCUCUAUACGUAGCUCCUUCGACGAGUCGAGUUGUUUGGGAAUGCAGCUCUAAAUGGGAGGUAAAUUUCUUCUAAAGCUAAAUAUUGGCCAGAGACCGAUAGCGCACAAGUAGAGUGAUCGAAAGAUGAAAAGCACUUUGGAAAGAGAGUUAAAAAGCACGUGAAAUUGUUAAAAGGGAAGGGAUUGCAACCAGACUUGCUCGCGGUGUUCCGCCGGUCUUCUGACCGGUCUACUCGCCGCGUUGCAGGCCAGCAUCGUCUGGUGCCGCUGGAUAAGACUUGAGGAAUGUAGCUCCCUCGGGAGUGUUAUAGCCUCUUGUGAUGCAGCGAGCGCCGGGCGAGGUCCGCGCUUCGGCUAGGAUGCUGGCGUAAUGGUCGUAAUCCGCCCGUCUUGAAACACGGACCAAGGAGUCUAACAUCUAUGCGAGUGUUCGGGUGUCAAACCCCUACGCGUAAUGAAAGUGAACGGAGGUGAGAACCGCAAGGUGCAUCAUCGACCGAUCCUGAUGUCUUCGGGUGGAUUUGAGUAAGAGCAUAGCUGUUGGGACCCGAAAGAUGGUGAACUAUGCCUGAAUAGGGUGAAGCCAGAGGAAACUCUGGUGGAGGCUCGCAGCGGUUCUGACGUGCAAAUCGAUCGUCAAAUUUGGGUAUAGGGGCGAAAGACUAAUCGAACCAUCUAGUAGCUGGUUCCUGCCGAAGUUUCCCU